CCUCCUGACAACCCAACUUAUAGGAGGUCCAGCCUGCCCGGUGACAAAGUUUAACGGCCUCGGUACCCUGACCGCGCGAAGGUAGCAUAAUCACUUGUUCUUUAAAUAGGGACUAGUAUCAACGGCAUCACGAGGGCCAAACUGUCUCCUCUCUCCAAUCAGUGAACCUGAUCUCUUCGUGAAGAAGCGAAGAUUAAUAUAUAAGACGAGAAGACCCCAUGGAGCUUAAAACUAACAACACCUUCUUACACUUAAGUCCGCCUAAACAAGAAGGCCUGUCAAUAGUUUUCGGCUGGGGUGUCCAAGGAGUAAAACUCAACCUCCUUGACGAAGUAUAUUCAAGAACAACAGUUCUAAAAAAUAAUAAAUUAGCGUAAAAUGACCCGAUAUUCUAAUCGAUCAACGAACCAAGUUACCCUGGGGAUAACAGCGCAAUCCAUUUCAAGAGCCCCUAUCGACAAAUGGGUUUACGACCUCGAUGUUGGAUCGGGGUAUCCCAGUGGUGCAGCCGCUACUAAAG
Molecule: ribosomal RNA, 520 nt
Filed under: Phrynobatrachus sp. n. JRV-2018
Lineage: Eukaryota; Metazoa; Chordata; Amphibia; Anura; Phrynobatrachidae
Description: partial large subunit ribosomal RNA
Rfam family: Bacterial large subunit ribosomal RNA
Source: RNAcentral